GUGGCAGCAGCCGCGGUAAUACGAAGGGGGCUAGCGUUGUUCGGAUUUACUGGGCGUAAAGCGCACGUAGGCGGAUUUUUAAGUCAGAGGUGAAAUCCCAAGGCUCAACCUUGGAACUGCCUUUGAUACUGGGAGUCUAGAGUCCGGGAGAGGUGAGUGGAACUGCGAGUGUAGAGGUGAAAUUCGUAGAUAUUCGCAAGAACACCAGUGGCGAAGGCGGCUCACUGGCCCGGUACUGACGCUGAGGUGCGAAAGCGUGGGGAGCAAACAGGAUUAGAUACCCCAGUAGUC
Molecule: ribosomal RNA, 291 nt
Filed under: uncultured Methylocystis sp.
Lineage: Bacteria; Pseudomonadati; Pseudomonadota; Alphaproteobacteria; Hyphomicrobiales; Methylocystaceae
Description: partial 16S ribosomal RNA
Rfam family: Bacterial small subunit ribosomal RNA
Source: RNAcentral